GUCGGACGGUAAGGCCCUUCGGGGUACACGAGUGGCGAACGGGUGAGUAACACGUGGGUAAUCUGCCCUGCACAUCGGGAUAAGCCUGGGAAACUGGGUCUAAUACCGAAUAGGACCACAGAACACAUGUCCUGUGGUGGAAAGCUUUUGCGGUGUGGGAUGGGCCCGCGGCCUAUCAGCUUGUUGGUGGGGUGAUGGCCCACCAAGGCGACGACGGGUAGCCGGCCUGAGAGGGUGUCCGGCCACACUGGGACUGAGAUACGGCCCAGACUCCUACGGGAGGCAGCAGUGGGGAAUAUUGCACAAUGGGCGAAAGCCUGAUGCAGCGACGCCGCGUGGGGGAUGACGGCCUUCGGGUUGUAAACCUCUUUCACCAUCGACGAAGGUUCGGGUUUUCUCGGAUUGACGGUAGGUGGAGAAGAAGCACCGGCCAACUACGUGCCAGCAGCCGCGGUAAUACGUAGGGUGCGAGCGUUGUCCGGAAUUACUGGGCGUAAAGAGCUCGUAGGUGGUUUGUCGCGUUGUUCGUGAAAUCUCACGGCUUAACUGUGAGCGUGCGGGCGAUACGGGCAGACUUGAGUACUGCAGGGGAGACUGGAAUUCCUGGUGUAGCGGUGGAAUGCGCAGAUAUCAGGAGGAACACCGGUGGCGAAGGCGGGUCUCUGGGCAGUAACUGACGCUGAGGAGCGAAAGCGUGGGGAGCGAACAGGAUUAGAUACCCUGGUAGUCCACGCCGUAAACGGUGGGUACUAGGUGUGGGUUUCCUUCCUUGGGAUCCGUGCCGUAGCUAACGCAUUAAGUACCCCGCCUGGGGAGUACGGCCGCAAGGCUAAAACUCAAAGAAAUUGACGGGGGCCCGCACAAGCGGCGGAGCAUGUGGAUUAAUUCGAUGCAACGCGAAGAACCUUACCUGGGUUUGACAUGCACAGGACGCCGGCAGAGAUGUCGGUUCCCUUGUGGCCUGUGUGCAGGUGGUGCAUGGCUGUCGUCAGCUCGUGUCGUGAGAUGUUGGGUUAAGUCCCGCAACGAGCGCAACCCUUGUCUCAUGUUGCCAGCGGGUAAUG
This 1064-nucleotide ribosomal RNA is filed under the name Mycobacterium paragordonae. RNAcentral's name for it is "bacterial SSU rRNA". It matches the Rfam family "Bacterial small subunit ribosomal RNA", at positions 61 to 1130 of the family's 1533-position model. Lineage: Bacteria; Bacillati; Actinomycetota; Actinomycetes; Mycobacteriales; Mycobacteriaceae. The record is from RNAcentral.